AAAUUGAAGAGUUUGAUCAUGGCUCAGAUUGAACGCUGGCGGCAGGCCUAACACAUGCAAGUCGAACGGUAACAGGAAGCAGCUUGCUGCUUUGCUGACGAGUGGCGGACGGGUGAGUAAUGUCUGGGAAACUGCCUGAUGGAGGGGGAUAACUACUGGAAACGGUGGCUAAUACCGCAUAACGUCGCAAGACCAAAGAGGGGGACCUUCGGGCCUCUUGCCAUCAGAUGUGCCCAGAUGGGAUUAGCUUGUUGGUGAGGUAACGGCUCACCAAGGCGACGAUCCCUAGCUGGUCUGAGAGGAUGACUAGCCACACUGGAACUGAGACACGGUCCAGACUCCUACGGGAGGCAGCAGUGGGGAAUAUUGCACAAUGGGCGCAAGCCUGAUGCAGCCAUGCCGCGUGUAUGAAGAAGGCCUUCGGGUUGUAAAGUACUUUCAGCGGGGAGGA
Molecule: ribosomal RNA, 451 nt
Filed under: Salmonella enterica subsp. enterica serovar Kentucky
Lineage: Bacteria; Pseudomonadati; Pseudomonadota; Gammaproteobacteria; Enterobacterales; Enterobacteriaceae
Description: bacterial SSU rRNA
Rfam family: Bacterial small subunit ribosomal RNA
Source: RNAcentral